This 697-nucleotide ribosomal RNA is filed under the name Acarospora peltastica. Its description in RNAcentral is "partial large subunit ribosomal RNA". It matches the Rfam family "Eukaryotic large subunit ribosomal RNA", at positions 197 to 912 of the family's 3401-position model. The record is from RNAcentral. Lineage: Eukaryota; Fungi; Ascomycota; Lecanoromycetes; Acarosporales; Acarosporaceae.
AGGACGUCAUAGAGGGUGAGAAUCCCGUAUGUGACUGGUUGCCACGCCCGUGUGAAGCUCCUUCGACGAGUCGAGUUGUUUGGGAAUGCAGCUCAAAAUGGGUGGUAAAUUUCAUCUAAAGCUAAAUAUUGGCCAGAGACCGAUAGCGCACAAGUAGAGUGAUCGAAAGAUGAAAAGCACUUUGGAAAGAGAGUCAAACAGUACGUGAAAUUGUUGAAAGGGAAGCGCUUGCAACCAGACUUGCCCGCGGGUGAUCAGCCGGUAUUCUUACCGGUGCACUCGCCCGUGGUCAGGCCAGCAUCGGUUUGGGCGGCUGGAUAAAGUCCACUGGAAUGUAGCUCCUCUCGGGGAGUGUUAUAGCCAGAGGUGCCAUGCAGCCCGCCCGGACCGAGGACCGCGCUUCGGCUAGGAUGCUGGCGUAAUGGUUGUAAGCGACCCGUCUUGAAACACGGACCAAGGAGUCUAACAUCUAUGCGAGUGUUUGGGUGUCAAACCCAUGCGCGUAAUGAAAGUGAACGGAGGUGGGAACCCUCAAGGGUGCACCAUCGACCGAUCCUGAUGUCUUCGGAUGGAUUUGAGUAAGAGCAUAGCUGUUGGGACCCGAAAGAUGGUGAACUAUGCCUGAAUAGGGUGAAGCCAGAGGAAACUCUGGUGGAGGCUCGCAGCGGUUCUGACGUGCAAAUCGAUCGUCAAAUUU